GACGAACGCUGGCGGCGUGCUUAACACAUGCAAGUCGAACGGAAAGGCCCUGCUUGCAGGGUACUCGAGUGGCGAACGGGUGAGUAACACGUGGGUGAUCUGCCCUGCACUUCGGGAUAAGCCUGGGAAACUGGGUCUAAUACCGGAUAGGAGCCAUUUUUAGUGUGAUGGUUGGAAAGUUUUUUUCGGUGUAGGAUGAGCUCGCGGCCUAUCAGCUUGUUGGUGGGGUAAUGGCCUACCAAGGCGGCGACGGGUAGCCGGCCUGAGAGAGUGGACGGCCACAUUGGGACUGAGAUACGGCCCAGACUCCUACGGGAGGCAGCAGUGGGGAAUAUUGCACAAUGGGCGCAAGCCUGAUGCAGCGACGCCGCGUGGGGGAUGACGGCCUUCGGGUUGUAAACUCCUUUCGCUAGGGACGAAGCUUUUUGUGACGGUACCUAGAUAAGAAGCACCGGCUAACUACGUG
RNAcentral lists this ribosomal RNA (466 nucleotides) under uncultured bacterium. RNAcentral describes it as "partial 16S ribosomal RNA". It matches the Rfam family "Bacterial small subunit ribosomal RNA", at positions 28 to 507 of the family's 1533-position model. The record is from RNAcentral.